RNAcentral lists this ribosomal RNA (1346 nucleotides) under Pediococcus pentosaceus. Its description in RNAcentral is "16S ribosomal RNA". It matches the Rfam family "Bacterial small subunit ribosomal RNA", at positions 93 to 1428 of the family's 1533-position model. The record is from RNAcentral. Lineage: Bacteria; Bacillati; Bacillota; Bacilli; Lactobacillales; Lactobacillaceae.
GAGUGGCGAACGGGUGAGUAACACGUGGGUAACCUGCCCAGAAGUAGGGGAUAACACCUGGAAACAGAUGCUAAUACCGUAUAACAGAGAAAACCGCAUGGUUUUCUUUUAAAAGAUGGCUCUGCUAUCACUUCUGGAUGGACCCGCGGCGUAUUAGCUAGUUGGUGAGGUAAAGGCUCACCAAGGCAGUGAUACGUAGCCGACCUGAGAGGGUAAUCGGCCACAUUGGGACUGAGACACGGCCCAGACUCCUACGGGAGGCAGCAGUAGGGAAUCUUCCACAAUGGACGCAAGUCUGAUGGAGCAACGCCGCGUGAGUGAAGAAGGGUUUCGGCUCGUAAAGCUCUGUUGUUAAGAAGAACGUGGGUAAGAGUAACUGUUUACCCAGUGACGGUAUUUAACCAGAAAGCCACGGCUAACUACGUGCCAGCAGCCGCGGUAAUACGUAGGUGGCAAGCGUUAUCCGGAUUUAUUGGGCGUAAAGCGAGCGCAGGCGGUCUUUUAAGUCUAAUGUGAAAGCCUUCGGCUCAACCGAAGAAGUGCAUUGGAAACUGGGAGACUUGAGUGCAGAAGAGGACAGUGGAACUCCAUGUGUAGCGGUGAAAUGCGUAGAUAUAUGGAAGAACACCAGUGGCGAAGGCGGCUGUCUGGUCUGCAACUGACGCUGAGGCUCGAAAGCAUGGGUAGCGAACAGGAUUAGAUACCCUGGUAGUCCAUGCCGUAAACGAUGAUUACUAAGUGUUGGAGGGUUUCCGCCCUUCAGUGCUGCAGCUAACGCAUUAAGUAAUCCGCCUGGGGAGUACGACCGCAAGGUUGAAACUCAAAAGAAUUGACGGGGGCCCGCACAAGCGGUGGAGCAUGUGGUUUAAUUCGAAGCUACGCGAAGAACCUUACCAGGUCUUGACAUCUUCUGACAGUCUAAGAGAUUAGAGGUUCCCUUCGGGGACAGAAUGACAGGUGGUGCAUGGUUGUCGUCAGCUCGUGUCGUGAGAUGUUGGGUUAAGUCCCGCAACGAGCGCAACCCUUAUUACUAGUUGCCAGCAUUAAGUUGGGCACUCUAGUGAGACUGCCGGUGACAAACCGGAGGAAGGUGGGGACGACGUCAAAUCAUCAUGCCCCUUAUGACCUGGGCUACACACGUGCUACAAUGGAUGGUACAACGAGUCGCGAGACCGCGAGGUUAAGCUAAUCUCUUAAAACCAUUCUCAGUUCGGACUGUAGGCUGCAACUCGCCUACACGAAGUCGGAAUCGCUAGUAAUCGCGGAUCAGCAUGCCGCGGUGAAUACGUUCCCGGGCCUUGUACACACCGCCCGUCACACCAUGAGAGUUUGUAACACCCAAAGCC